RNAcentral lists this ribosomal RNA (497 nucleotides) under uncultured bacterium. Its description in RNAcentral is "partial 16S ribosomal RNA". It matches the Rfam family "Bacterial small subunit ribosomal RNA", at positions 28 to 507 of the family's 1533-position model. The record is from RNAcentral.
GACGAACGCUGGCGGCGUGCCUAAUACAUGCAAGUAGAACGCUGAAGAGAGGAGCUUACUCUUCUUGGAUGAGUUGCGAACGGGUGAGUAACGCGUAGGUAACCUGCCUUGUAGCGGGGGAUAACUAUUGGAAACGAUAGCUAAUACCGCAUAACAAUGGAUGACACAUGUCAUUUAUUUGAAAGGGGCAAUUGCUCCACUACAAGAUGGACCUGCGUUGUAUUAGCUAGUAGGUGAGGUAAUGGCUCACCUAGGCGACGAUACAUAGCCGACCUGAGAGGGUGAUCGGCCAAAAUGGGACCGAGAAACGGCCCAGAAUUCUAAGGGAGGCAGCAGUAGGGAAUCUUUGGAAAUGGGGGCAAACCUGACCGAGCAAAGCCGCGGGAGUGAAGAAGGGUGUCGGAUCGUAAAGCUCUGUUGUAAGUCAAGAACGGGUGUGAGAGUGGAAAGUUCACACUGUGACGGUAGCUUAACAGAAAGGGACGGCUAACUACGUG